RNAcentral lists this ribosomal RNA (253 nucleotides) under uncultured bacterium. Its description in RNAcentral is "partial 16S ribosomal RNA". It matches the Rfam family "Bacterial small subunit ribosomal RNA", at positions 524 to 776 of the family's 1533-position model. The record is from RNAcentral.
UACAGGGGGCGCAAGCGUUGCUCGGAAUCACUGGGCGUAAAGCGUACGCAGGCGGGUCGUUAAGUCGGUUGUGAAAUCCCGGGGCUCAACCCCGGAACUGCAUUCGAUACUGGCGAUCUUGAGUACGGGAGAGGUGAGCGGAAUUCCUGGUGUAGAGGUGAAAUUCGUAGAUAUCAGGAGGAACACCGGUGGCGAAAGCGGCUCACUGGCCCGAUACUGACGCUCAUGUACGAAAGCGUGGGGAGCAAACAGG